Non-coding RNA from Mycena latifolia, 95 nucleotides. The record is from the annotation of a GenBank genome assembly. NCBI's taxonomy places the organism in Eukaryota, Fungi, Basidiomycota, Agaricomycetes, Agaricales, Mycenaceae.
GGCCUGGUGGUGUAGUGGUAACACAGCUGCUCUAUCUGUCAUUUAUCCAUACAAUGUACAGCAGGAGAUUCCUUGUUCGAAUCAAGGUCAGGCCA